GCGGCAUGCCUUACACAUGCAAGUCGAACGGCAGCGCGGGAGCAAUCCUGGCGGCGAGUGGCGAACGGGUGAGUAAUAUAUCGGAACGUGCCCUGUAGCGGGGGAUAACCUAUCGAAAGAUGGACUAAUACCGCAUACGCUCUACGGAGGAAAGCGGGGGUCGCAAGACCUCGCACUACAGGAGCGGCCGAUAUCGGAUUAGCUAGUUGGCGGGGUAAAAGCCCACCAAGGCUACGAUCCGUAGCUGGUCUGAGAGGAUGAUCAGCCACACUGGAACUGAGACACGGUCCAGACUCCUACGGGAGGCAGCAGUGGGGAAUUUUGGACAAUGGGCGCAAGCCUGAUCCAGCCAUGCCGCGUGAGUGAAGAAGGCCUUCGGGUUGUAAAGCUCUUUCGGCAGGAACGAAAUGGUUCGUGCUAAUACCACGGACUGAUGACGGUACCUGAAGAAGAAGCACCGGCUAACUACGUGCCAGCAGCCGCGGUAAUACGUAGGGUGCAGGCGUUAAUCGGAAUUACUGGGCGUAAAGCGUGCGCAGGCGGUUUCUUAAGUCAGAUGUGAAAGCCCCGGGCUUAACCUGGGAACUGCGUUUGAAACUGGGAGACUUGAGUGUGGCAGAGGGGGGUGGAAUUCCACGUGUAGCAGUGAAAUGCGUAGAUAUGUGGAGGAACACCGAUGGCGAAGGCAGCCCCCUGGGUAACAC
RNAcentral lists this ribosomal RNA (704 nucleotides) under uncultured bacterium. RNAcentral's name for it is "bacterial SSU rRNA". It matches the Rfam family "Bacterial small subunit ribosomal RNA", at positions 39 to 740 of the family's 1533-position model. The record is from RNAcentral.